GCCUGCAGCUAGCUCUCUGCAACUCUCACAUGGUCGCCCACUGAAGCCAAACAGGGCUGGGCCCGGUCAGUACCUGGAUGGGAGACCACACGGGAAAGCUAGGUUGCUGCCAGAA
Molecule: ribosomal RNA, 115 nt
Filed under: Danio rerio (zebrafish)
Lineage: Eukaryota; Metazoa; Chordata; Actinopteri; Cypriniformes; Danionidae
Source: RNAcentral